Molecule: non-coding RNA, 29 nt
Filed under: Homo sapiens (human)
Lineage: Eukaryota; Metazoa; Chordata; Mammalia; Primates; Hominidae
Source: RNAcentral
UUUGAAGAUGGGAGUCUCACACUGUUGCC